This 75-nucleotide transfer RNA is filed under the name Candidatus Woesearchaeota archaeon. RNAcentral describes it as "tRNA-Arg". It matches the Rfam family "tRNA". Rfam says of the family: Transfer RNA (tRNA) molecules are approximately 80 nucleotides in length. The record is from RNAcentral. Lineage: Archaea; Nanobdellati; Candidatus Woesearchaeota.
GGACCUGUAGCCUAGCCUGGAUAAGGCGACAGCCUUCUAAGCUGUAGAUCCGGGGUUCGAAUCCCCGCAGGUCCG